UGGGGAAUAUUGCACAAUGGGCGCAAGCCUGAUGCAGCCAUGCCGCGUGUAUGAAGAAGGCCUUCGGGUUGUAAAGUACUUUCAGCGGGGAGGAAGGGAGUAAAGUUAAUACCUUUGCUCAUUGACGUUACCCGCAGAAGAAGCACCGGCUAACUCCGUGCCAGCAGCCGCGGUAAUACGGAGGGUGCAAGCGUUAAUCGGAAUUACUGGGCGUAAAGCGCACGCAGGCGGUUUGUUAAGUCAGAUGUGAAAUCCCCGGGCUCAACCUGGGAACUGCAUCUGAUACUGGCAAGCUUGAGUCUCGUAGAGGGGGGUAGAAUUCCAGGUGUAGCGAUGAAAUGCGUAGAGAUCUGGAGGAAUACCGGUGGCGAAGGCGGCCCCCUUGACGAAGACUGACGCUCAGGUGCGAAAGCGUGGGGAGCAAACAGG
Molecule: ribosomal RNA, 429 nt
Filed under: Chloroflexota bacterium
Lineage: Bacteria; Bacillati; Chloroflexota
Description: Chloroflexi bacterium partial 16S ribosomal RNA
Rfam family: Bacterial small subunit ribosomal RNA
Source: RNAcentral